Molecule: unclassified non-coding RNA, 373 nt
Filed under: uncultured Acidimicrobiia bacterium
Lineage: Bacteria; Bacillati; Actinomycetota; Acidimicrobiia
Description: contains 16S-23S intergenic spacer region
Source: RNAcentral
UCCCCGAUUUCCGGGGCAGUCUCCCUAGAGUUCCCGGCCGAACCGCUGGCAACAUAGGACAAGGGUUGCGCUCGUCGCGGGACUUAACCCAACAUCUCACGACACGAGCUGACGACAGCCAUGCACCACCUGUCACGGGCCCUUACGGACACUGCAUUUCUACAGCUUUUCCCGUGAUGUCAAACCCAGGUAAGGUUCUUCGGGUUGCAUCGAAUUAAGCCGCAUGCUCCGCCGCUUGUGCGGGGACCCGUCAAUUCCUUUGAGUUUUAGCCUUGCGGCCGUACUCCCCAGGCGGGAUACUUAAUGCGUUAGCGGCGCCACCGAAGAGCAAGCUCCCCGACGGCUAGCAUCCAUCGUUUACGGCGUGGACUAC